This 86-nucleotide non-coding RNA is filed under the name Nitrosospira multiformis. Its description in RNAcentral is "GEMM cis-regulatory element". It matches the Rfam family "c-di-GMP-I riboswitch aptamer". From Rfam's summary of the family: GEMM was predicted in a large-scale screen for bacterial structured RNA regulatory elements. Genes associated with GEMM are involved in a diverse array of functions, including chemotaxis regulation, signal transduction, secretion and chitin. The record is from RNAcentral. Lineage: Bacteria; Pseudomonadati; Pseudomonadota; Betaproteobacteria; Nitrosomonadales; Nitrosomonadaceae.
AUCUGUAAAAGGCAAACCAUGCGAAAGCGUGGGACGCAAAGUCAUCGAUCUAAAGGGCUAAGCCCCAGGAUAGCGAGACUGCCAGA